GGGUCAGUAGGUUGGUCGUGCCACCGGUACGUACUGGUCUCACUGAUUCCUCCUUCUUGAAGAACCGUAAUGCCAUUAAUUUGGUGUUGCGGGGAGACCGGACUGUUACUUUGAAAAAAUUAGAGUGUUUAAAGCAAGCUAACGCUUGAAUACAUUAGCAUGGAAUAAUGAAAUAGGACGAUCGAUCCUAUUUUGUUGGUUUCUAGGAUUGACGUA
This 216-nucleotide ribosomal RNA is filed under the name Glomeromycotina sp. Its description in RNAcentral is "partial small subunit ribosomal RNA". The stretch from base 40 to 216 matches the Rfam family "Eukaryotic small subunit ribosomal RNA", at positions 686 to 864 of the family's 1831-position model. The record is from RNAcentral. Lineage: Eukaryota; Fungi; Glomeromycota.